GACGAACGCUGGCGGCGUGCUUAACACAUGCAAGUCGAACGGAAAGGCCCUGCUUUUGUGGGGUGCUCGAGUGGCGAACGGGUGAGUAACACGUGAGUAACCUGCCCUUGACUUUGGGAUAACUUCAGGAAACUGGGGCUAAUACCGGAUAGGAGCUCCUGCUGCAUGGUGGGGGUUGGAAAGUUUCGGCGGUUGGGGCUGGACUCGCGGCUUAUCAGCUUGUUUGUGGGGUAGUGGCUUACCAAGGCUUUGACGGGUAGCCGGCCUGAGAGGGUGACCGGCCACAUUGGGACUGAGAUACGGCCCAGACGCCAACGGGAGGCAGCGGUGGAGAAUAUUGCGCAAUGGGCGGAAGCCAGUUGCGGCAGCGCCGCGUGCGGGAUGACGUCCUUCGGGUUGUAAACCGAUUUCGCCGGUGACGAAGCGUGAGUGACGGUAAUGGGUAAGGAAGCACCGGCUAACUACGUG
Molecule: ribosomal RNA, 468 nt
Filed under: uncultured bacterium
Lineage: Bacteria
Description: partial 16S ribosomal RNA
Rfam family: Bacterial small subunit ribosomal RNA
Source: RNAcentral